CCCUGGUUAGCUCAGUCGGUAGAGCGCUCCACCUGUAAUGGAGAGGUCCCGGCUUCGAUACCCAGACCAGGCA
RNAcentral lists this transfer RNA (73 nucleotides) under Ixodes scapularis (black-legged tick). It matches the Rfam family "tRNA". From Rfam's summary of the family: Transfer RNA (tRNA) molecules are approximately 80 nucleotides in length. The record is from Rfam by way of RNAcentral. Lineage: Eukaryota; Metazoa; Arthropoda; Arachnida; Ixodida; Ixodidae.